UGUUCUGUUACUGAGCAGCUCAGAC
Molecule: non-coding RNA, 25 nt
Filed under: Cricetulus griseus (Chinese hamster)
Lineage: Eukaryota; Metazoa; Chordata; Mammalia; Rodentia; Cricetidae
Source: RNAcentral